CCACAAUUACAGUUACAUUGAGAAUAGGAAAGAAUUUUGAAUCUAUUCAAAAUUCUUUCCUAUUCAUAUACUCUUAGGGUUGGAAAUAUUUAUUAUGCAAAGGUUACAUCAGCAUGGAUACAAUUGUGCAGUGCCUAUGCACAAUUUUACAAAAGUUGUUCAAACUACCAACAGCCACAUUCAAUGUAAACAUAGCAUUGUUGAAUGAAAAUCUGGGGCACUCUUUCAAAAUUCCCCAGCAUUCCACAUACCACAUCAGAUGCUAUCCACCAUAUCACAUCAAAUACCUCAGAAAACUUUCAGAUGUUAUAUCUUUUUAAUGAAGCCCCAAAUCAAAAAAAUGGUCCUAAGAAUUUUUACUUAUAAUUGCCUUUUCCGUAUGCUUCUUCAAUUUUUCCCAGACCUUUUGAAUCACCGUGUAUAG
RNAcentral lists this long non-coding RNA (424 nucleotides) under Androctonus crassicauda. The record is from RNAcentral. Lineage: Eukaryota; Metazoa; Arthropoda; Arachnida; Scorpiones; Buthidae.